UCAGUAUCAAUUCUGGAAACAUUGAAAAACUGAGGAGCACAGUGAUUCAAAUUCAGGGCAGACAACAUUUUGUAGCUCAUUAAGAGAUCUUUGGAUGCUUAUCCAAUCUGAUAAAGUUGCUAAACAAGAACAGUAUUUUAAGAAUUUCCAGAAUGGUAACAUUUUGAGGCAUCAAUGAUGGAGGCACCAACUCAAGCUUCUGAGUCCUUGCAAUUUGCACGUGAACCUCAUCCCCAUUAUCUGACAAAAGAAGUUGCCUACAACAUUUAUUCAAGGUCUCAAAGUUAAUAUUGAAUCCACUGGUGGAGAUGUCCAAGCACUACCAUUAUCACUUUUUACAGCAAACUGAAAACAAUUAUGUGUAAUAAAACCAUUAACCUAUUCCAAACAUAAAAUAGAAAGAUCAUUUCAGCAAAGAAUUAUAAUAGUUAAUUUUAACCAUGAAAAUAAACAUCAUUAGUAAUUGAUAUCUUUAAAGAUAUGAUUUUCAAGCCAAACAAGUUCAACUAAAUUAUAAUACAUGAUGACUAAAUCAUAAUAUCAAUGGACUACUAUUUCUCUCUAUUCUAACGCUAUCAAUGGCUAACAUAAUAAUCAAGUGUAUUUAUCUAUGUUGUGUUUUGGUUUGAGUUGAUAUUGUAGAAAAUAGUAUAAAGCAUAGCAAUAGACUACCAUUUUGUCCAUCCUAAUACAUACACAGAGAGUAGAGAUAAGACAAGUAGUAUAGACAUUUUUUUCCUUUAUAUGAUCCAUUAAUAAAAAAAAUUAUCAAUGAGCAUAACACCCUUAACAUAUCGAUGGUAAAAUUUAUGAUGCUGCAGCCAUCCCUACUGGGAGAAGGAUUACCAGAAAUAUACAUGCCCACUAGCAGACCUGAAUUAAAAACAGAGCAAAAGUCCUUUCUGCACUAGUCAUCUAGUAGAUAUGUUUUUAUGGGCGAUGUGAAAUCUUUAGGGCAACCCAAGACUUGUCCCCUUUUAGCAUCCCUUUAGGCAUUAAGCCAAUCAUAAAGCUUCUUAAGGAAGGUGAAACCUGUGACAAUGGUUUAAAGAUGGAAAAAAAUUUUCAAACUUGCUGAUCUGAGCAGUUUAACAGAGCAAAUAUAAAGAAGUGACAAAGCAAAUGAAAAUAGGGCAUUCUGCAUGUAUGAUAAUAAAAUUGAAAAAAAAACUAGGGAAUUUCUGACCUGAAAUGACAUUCUGUAUAAGUUCACUCUUCACUAAUGCAGGUACAUGUUAAUUUAUAGGAUAUAAUCAAUCUUGGGCCAGUUCCCUUCGACAUCUUUCUGUAAGGUGCUCAUAAUUUUAUAUAUUAAGGUGUGCAAAUGAGGUGAGACUGCCAAUCCAAUGUGGUAAUGCUGUCAAACCACAAUAGUUGUAAAUUGAGAGACGUUGAAGAGUUGAAACAUGUCGAUGCAGCUCAUCUAGAAGAAAUAUCAAAAUCACAUAUCUUCUAUAUGGACAAAGACUCCAAUGGAGAAUCAAUAACAAGUAUUAACUGCCGCAAUACCUCUUCUCUCACUGUAGACAGUAGCAAUUUCUUAAGACAAGGUAACAAAGACACUUGCAAGGAUGUCUAGAAUAGAAAAAAGACUCUGAGCUCAGGGCAUUGCGAGAUCUUUAAACUAGAAAGAAGAGGAGAUGAAUGCAGUUCCAAGGACGCUAACUCCUUACAAUACUCGAUAUCUAAUUGUGAAAGAUAAGGAAAUGAAGGAGGUGGUUGUGUUGGUAACAUUUCCAGGCCCCAAUACCGGAGACACCAACUCAAGCUUCAUCUUCAUUAUCUAACAAAAGAAGCUCACUGCAACAUUUAUUCAAGGUAUCAAAGGUGAUGAAAUAUUGAAUCCCCUCGUAGAGAUGUCCAAGCUCCACCAUUAUCCCUUGUACAUUCAAUUGACAACAAUUACAUCUGCAAUAAAAUAGUUCAUCUAAGAAAUUUCCAAACAUGAAGAAUGCAAACACAAAAUAGCAAGAUCACUUUAGCAAGAAAUGAUGAGCUAAUUAUAAUUAUGAAAAGAGACAACAUUAAAAUUGACAUCUUUAAAGAUAAGAUUUUCAAACUUUACUAAAUUAUGAUAAAUGACAGCUAAAUCGUAAUAUCAAUGGACUACUCUGUUUUUGUCUAUGCUAAUGCUAUCAAUGGCUGACAUAAUAAUCAAGGGUUUUUGUCCAUGUUGUGUUUUGGUUAGAGUGAUAUUUUAGAAACUAGUACAAAUCAUAGCAAUAGACUACUAUUUUGUUUAUGCUAGUACAUACAUAGAAAGCAGAGAUAAGACAAGAAGUAUAAAAAAGUUUUGCUUGACAUGAUCCAUCAAUAACCAAAAUUAUAGAUGACUCUGACAUUCUUAAUAGAUCAAUAGCACAAAGUACAAACAAUGAUAAUGAUGAUGCAACCAUCAAAGGUCAGAGGAGGAUUUACUAAAAUUUACGUCUGAUAGCACACCUGAAUUGAAAAGAGAGGAAAGGUCUUUUUUUGCAUUGGUCAUGUAGUAGGAAUGAAUUUCUGGCAGUGAUUAAUCUCAAGGCAUGUAAAUGAUAUGAGGCUGCCUAACUAGAACAGUCCUAAAUGAUAAGUCUGCAGGGUAUUGAGGGAAUGCAUCUCUUCUAGUAGUAAUGUCAAUUAAUGGCAAGGAUGAAUUCAGAGCUCCAAAAGUAUUCAAAGGCUUCCUAUCUAGUCUGGUGAUUUUGUCAAUUAAGAGCAGAGGAGAGAGUAUGUUGUAAGUGAAUGGAGUCUUUUCCUUUUCACCAGCCCUCAAAAGCUUGUUCCCAAGGCACGGGCAAUAUUCAGCCCAUCUUCACCAUCAUCCUUUUUUACAUUGGGAUAUUAGACACCUUUGUGCCUAUGAACAAUCAGAAGUUCUUAAGCAAGGUAAAAUCUGCAAGAAAAUAUUGAUUAAAUCAACCCUAGCAUUUUGCCAAACUCUUAGAAUAUGAAACUUAAAGUAUAAUGAUUAGGUUGGUCCCAAACUACCAAUUAAUAACUUGUCUAUUGUACAUGAUUUGAUGAUGCAAAAUUUUCAAAAACUUAGUGAUCUAAAAUCAAACAUUAUAAAAAUUGAAGCUAUUAAAAACAAGACAGAACAUUGGAUUGCAAACCUGAAAUAUAUUGUCAAUGACAUGCUUCAAUUAAAGAACAAAAAUCCUAUAUGAAUCAGGUACCAUUGCUAGUCAAUAUCAAUUUUGGGAAAAUUGAAGUGUUGAGUGACACAUCCCUUCUGGCAGUGAUUGCAAUUCAAGGCCAACAGCAUUUUCAAGCUCAUUAAGAGAUGCCAGACUGUCUUCUAGUUUGAUUAAGUUGCAAAACUAGAGAAAUUGAUGAUUGUAAGGAUUUCCAGAAUGUUAACAUUUUGAAGCCCUAAUAGUGGAGGCACCAACUCCUUAUUUGACAAAAACGCUCUCUGCAAUAUUUAUUCAAGCUAUCAAAGGUGAUAAAAAAUUGCAUCCACUGAUAGAGAUGCCCAAGCCCCACCAUCAUCCCUUUUUUACAUUGAAUUUACAUCAAUGACAU
RNAcentral lists this long non-coding RNA (3507 nucleotides) under Vitis vinifera (wine grape). RNAcentral describes it as "long non-coding RNA (VVIN_LNC006697)". Lineage: Eukaryota; Viridiplantae; Streptophyta; Magnoliopsida; Vitales; Vitaceae. The record is from RNAcentral.